Long non-coding RNA from Cyprinus carpio carpio, 1348 nucleotides. The record is from Ensembl. Lineage: Eukaryota; Metazoa; Chordata; Actinopteri; Cypriniformes; Cyprinidae.
AAUUCACAGCUAUAUUUUUCCAAAAAUCCAUAUUCAAAUCAAAAUAGCCAACUUCCUGUUGGUCGUAGCUGAUGACUGUGAAUUAGAAAGUUGUCCGUCUUGAUAAGAACAAUUUAUGUACCGAGUUUGGUGUCUGUAGCUAAAACUAACCCCCCCACUUUUGACAAAAGGUGGCGCUAUAGAGUGGCUCCUCCACGCCCGUUCAUGAGCUUUUGCCAGUGUCUAGCUAUCAUUAAUACUGAUAUGUGUUUUGAGUUUUAUGUAAUUCUGAGCAUGUUAUCUGCCUCAAAAUCCCCAGAAAAGAAUAUUCAAGUUUGAAGCGUUGCCAUGGCAACACUAUGUUAGCUAUCAAUAUCCCCACAACAGAUUUACAUCGGCCGUGUUUUAUCAUUAUUCUGAUGAAGUUUGAAGCAAAUCGAGUAAAAAUAAGAUGCUGAAUUCAAAGCAUUUUGAAAAUGACACACUUCCUGCUGCCAGUUGGUGGCGCUGUAACUUUGACUCCUAAUAGUCACAUAUAUGCGAUUGGCAUCAUACAACGAACAAACUGAUGAAGUUUGAUAAAACUCAGGUAGUGUAUGUGAAUGUUAUUAGACAUUUCCUGUUUCUCAUUUCUCGCCAUAAUUUCAACGCCUCGCCAUGGACAAACCGUUCGAGAUAUCAAAAAUAUCUUCGCAAUUUAGCAUCCCCAAUGUCUUGAGAUCAUGUUCACCGAGUUUUGUGGCGAACGGGUGGAGUUCCUCAGAGGAGUAUAUCAAAUUCCAGAGCAUGUGUUUUUCACAAAACCCUAAAUAGCCAACUUCCUGUUGGGCGGAGCUUAUGACAUGCAGUGCGAAAGUUGUUUGGUUUGAUGAGAUCUACAUGUGUACUGAGUUUCAUAUGUAUACGUGCAAGUAUGGAUGAUAUAUGGCCCUCAAUAUUCCAGGGGGCGCUGUAGAGCCCCUGUGCCACGCCCGUGUAUCAGUCUCUGCCCGGCCCUAAUGGCCGCAGAUUCCAAGGUGUGUGCCAAUUUUCAAGACUUUUUAAGCAUGUUAAGGGCCCCAAAAGCCCCCAAACCCUUGGAAAAAAAUUAGAGGAAUAAAGAAAGAAAAAAAAAAAUAAUCCUAAGGAAAACAAUAGGGCUCUUCGCCCUCCAGGCUUGAGCCCUAAUAAUUAAAGCUGCAAGCAGCGAUGAACGGGCCCUCGCACCCGGGCUCACCACCACCGGGUGGCUUUUGUAAAACAGCGAACGGCGAGAAAUAUGCGUUUAAUGUGGUAAAUAUAAGAGGAAUAUGUCAAAGUCAUUUAUAUGUGCCAAUCUUCCUGCUGCCAGCUGGUGGCGCUAUAACUAUAACUGGAUUUUGGCAUGUAC